GCGCAGUGUAGCGGUUAUCACUUCAGAUUCCGAUACAUUCCCUGACAACUCUCAUUUUCUGGCGACCCCGGUUCGAUUCCGGGCGCG
This is a non-coding RNA of Mycena polygramma, 87 nucleotides long. Lineage: Eukaryota; Fungi; Basidiomycota; Agaricomycetes; Agaricales; Mycenaceae. The record is from the annotation of a GenBank genome assembly.